RNAcentral lists this ribosomal RNA (465 nucleotides) under uncultured bacterium. Its description in RNAcentral is "partial 16S ribosomal RNA". It matches the Rfam family "Bacterial small subunit ribosomal RNA", at positions 28 to 507 of the family's 1533-position model. The record is from RNAcentral.
GACGAACGCUGGCGGCGUGCUUAACACAUGCAAGUCGUACGGUAAGGCCCUUUCGGGGGUCCACGAGUGGCGAACGGGUGAGUAACACGUGAGUAACCUGCCCACAACUUUGGGAUAACGCUAGGAAACUGGUGCUAAUACUGGAUAUGUGCUCCUGCUGCAUGGUGGGGGUUGGAAAGCUCCGGCGGUUGUGGAUGGACUCGCGGCCUAUCAGCUUGUUGGUGGGGUAGUGGCCUACCAAGGCGGCGACGGGUAGCCGGCCUGAUAGGGUGACCGGCCACGUUAGGACUGAGGUAAGGCGCAGACUCCUACGGGAGGCAGCAGUGAGGAAUAUUGCAGAAUGGGCGCAAGCCUGUUGCAGCAACGCCGCGGGCGGGAUGACGGCCUUCGGGUUGUAAACCGCUUUCGGCAGGGACGAAGCUUUUUGUGACGGUACCUGCAGAAGAAGCACCGGCUAACUACGUG